RNAcentral lists this ribosomal RNA (570 nucleotides) under Phomopsis sp. PSU-ES62. RNAcentral's name for it is "eukaryotic LSU rRNA". The stretch from base 219 to 372 matches the Rfam family "5.8S ribosomal RNA". The record is from RNAcentral. Lineage: Eukaryota; Fungi; Ascomycota; Sordariomycetes; Diaporthales; Diaporthaceae.
AGUCGUAACAAGGUCUCCGUUGGUGAACCAGCGGAGGGAUCAUUGCUGGAACGCGCCCUAGGCGCACCCAGAAACCCUUUGUGAACUUAUACCUUACUGUUGCCUCGGCGCAUGCCGGCCCCCUCGGGGCCCCCUGGAGACAGGGAGCAGGCACGCCGGCGGCCAAGUUAACUCUUGUUUUUACACUGAAACUCUGAGAAAAAACACAAAUGAAUCAAAACUUUCAACAACGGAUCUCUUGGUUCUGGCAUCGAUGAAGAACGCAGCGAAAUGCGAUAAGUAAUGUGAAUUGCAGAAUUCAGUGAAUCAUCGAAUCUUUGAACGCACAUUGCGCCCUCUGGUAUUCCGGAGGGCAUGCCUGUUCGAGCGUCAUUUCAACCCUCAAGCAUUGCUUGGUGUUGGGGCACUGCUUUUAACGAAGCAGGCCCUGAAAUCUAGUGGCGAGCUCGCCAGGACCCCGAGCGCAGUAGUUAAACCCUCGCUCUGGAAGGCCCUGGCGGUGCCCUGCCGUUAAACCCCCAACUUCUGAAAAUUUGACCUCGGAUCAGGUAGGAAUACCCGCUGAACUUA